GACUCGAUACUUUAAGUGAAAAGAUCUGAUUUGCAUUCAGAAAAUAAGUUAUAUAACUUUCAGGUCA
Molecule: transfer RNA, 67 nt
Filed under: Aporrhais serresiana
Lineage: Eukaryota; Metazoa; Mollusca; Gastropoda; Littorinimorpha; Aporrhaidae
Description: tRNA-Ala
Source: RNAcentral